RNAcentral lists this ribosomal RNA (407 nucleotides) under uncultured bacterium. RNAcentral describes it as "partial 16S ribosomal RNA". It matches the Rfam family "Bacterial small subunit ribosomal RNA", at positions 30 to 526 of the family's 1533-position model. The record is from RNAcentral.
AUUGAACGCUAGCGGGAUGCCUUACACAUGCAAGUCGAACGGAGUGGCGAACGGGUGAGUAAUGUAUCGGAACGUGCCCAGUAGCGCGGGAUAACUACGCGAAAGCGUAGCUAAUACCGCAUACUCUUGGAGCGGCCGAUAUCGGUAUUGCUAGUUGGUGGGGUAACGUCUCACCCAGGCGACGAUCCGUAGCUGGUUUUAGAGGACGACCAGCCACACUGGGACGGAGACACGGCCCAGACUCCUACGGGAGGCAGCAGUGGGGAAUUUUGGACAAUGGGGGAAACCCUGAUCCGGCCAUCCCGCGGGUGCGAUGAAGGCCUUCGGGUUGUAAAGCACUUUUGGCAGGAAAGCGGUACCUGCAGAAUAAGCACCGGCUAACUACGUGCCAGCAGCCGCGGUAAUAC